GUCCUGGCAGUAAACGGUGCACGUUUGGUGUGGGCGCAAUCGACCGCGUCCGCGCCGGAGCUAACGCGUUAAACGUGCCGCCUGGGAAGUACGGUCGCAAGAUUAAAACUCAAAGAAAUUGACGGGGACCCCGCACAAGCGGUGGAGUAUGUGGCUUAAUUCGAUGCAACGCGAAGAACCUUACCUGGUCUUGACAUGCAUUGUGUCUCCGGUGAAAGCCGGAUAGGGUAGCAAUACCCGCUUUGCACAGGUGCUGCAUGGCUGUCGU
Molecule: ribosomal RNA, 268 nt
Filed under: uncultured bacterium
Lineage: Bacteria
Description: partial 16S ribosomal RNA
Rfam family: Bacterial small subunit ribosomal RNA
Source: RNAcentral